UACGAAGGGGGCUAGCGUUGCUCGGAAUCACUGGGCGUAAAGGGCGCGUAGGCGGCCUGAUCAGUCGGGGGUGAAAGCCUGUGGCUCAACCGGGGAACUGCGUCCGAUACUGGUUGGCUUGAGUUUGGGAGAGGGAUGCGGAAUUCCAGGUGUAGCGGUGAAAUGCGUAGAUAUCUGGAGGAACACCGGUGGCGAAGGCGGCAUCCUGGACCAAUACUGACGCUGAGGAGCGAAAGCCAGGGGAGCAAACGGG
Molecule: ribosomal RNA, 253 nt
Filed under: uncultured bacterium
Lineage: Bacteria
Description: partial 16S ribosomal RNA
Rfam family: Bacterial small subunit ribosomal RNA
Source: RNAcentral